GACAGAGGGUGCAACCGUUGUUCGGAAUUACUGGGCGUAAAGCGCGUGUAGGCGGCUCGGAAAGUCGGGUGUGAAAGCCCUGGGCUCAACCUAGGAAGUGCACUCGAAACUUCCGAGCUGGAGUUCUGGAGAGGAAGGCGGAAUUCUCGGUGUAGAGGUGAAAUUCGUAGAUAUCGAGAGGAACACCGGUGGCGAAGGCGGCCUUCUGGACAGCAACUGACGCUGAGACGCGAAAGCGUGGGGAGCAAACAGG
RNAcentral lists this ribosomal RNA (253 nucleotides) under uncultured bacterium. RNAcentral's name for it is "partial 16S ribosomal RNA". It matches the Rfam family "Bacterial small subunit ribosomal RNA", at positions 524 to 776 of the family's 1533-position model. The record is from RNAcentral.